This 449-nucleotide ribosomal RNA is filed under the name uncultured bacterium. RNAcentral describes it as "partial 16S ribosomal RNA". It matches the Rfam family "Bacterial small subunit ribosomal RNA", at positions 29 to 523 of the family's 1533-position model. The record is from RNAcentral.
AACGAACGCUGGCGGCAUGCCUAACACAUGCAAGUCGAACGAGAUCUUCGGGUCUAGUGGCGCACGGGUGCGUAACGCGUGGGAAUCUGCCCUUUGGUUCGGAAUAACAGUUGGAAACGACCGCUAAUACCGGAUGAUGACGAAAGUCCAAAGAUUUAUCGCCAGAGGAUGAGCCCGCGUAGGAUUAGCUGGUUGGUGUGGUAAAGGCGCACCAAGGCGACGAUCCUUAGCUGGUCUGAGAGGAUGAUCAGCCACACUGGGACUGAGACACGGCCCAGACUCCUACGGGAGGCAGCAGUGGGGAAUAUUGGACAAUGGGCGAAAGCCUGAUCCAGCAAUGCCGCGUGAGUGAUGAAGGCCUUAGGGUUGUAAAGCUCUUUUACCCGGGAUGAUAAUGACAGUACCGGGAGAAUAAGCUCCGGCUAACUCCGUGCCAGCAGCCGCAGUAA